RNAcentral lists this ribosomal RNA (505 nucleotides) under uncultured bacterium. RNAcentral's name for it is "partial 16S ribosomal RNA". It matches the Rfam family "Bacterial small subunit ribosomal RNA", at positions 28 to 507 of the family's 1533-position model. The record is from RNAcentral.
GACGAACGCUGGCGGCGUGCCUAAUACAUGCCAGUAGAACGCACAGUUUAUACCGUAGCUUGCUACACCAUAGACUGUGAGUUGCGAACGGGUGAGUAACGCGUAGGUAACCUGCCUGGUAGCGGGGGAUAACUAUUGGAAACGAUAGCUAAUACCGCAUAAUAUUGAUUAUUGCAUGAUAAUUGAUUGAAAGAUGCUAUUGCAUCACUACCAGAUGGACCUGCGUUGUAUUAGCUAGUAGGUGAGGUAACGGCUCACCUAGGCGACGAUACAUAGCCGACCUGAGAGGGUGAUCGGCCACACUGGGACUGAGACACGGCCCAGACUCCUACGGGAGGCAGCAAUAGGGAAUCUUCGGCAAUGGACGAAAGUCUGACCGAGCAACGCCGCGUGAGUGAAGAAGGUUUUCGGAUCGUAAAGCUCUGUUGUAAGAGAAGAACGGGUGUGAGAGUGGAAAGUUCACACUGUGACGGUAUCUUACCAGAAAGGGACGGCUAACUACGUG